UUAGUGAAUACACCGGGACUUCCACUCUGUGGAUCCCAACCCAUCCACAAAUAUCCACAUACACCUGUGCAUUGUUGGUUUAGAUGGAGCGCCUUAACUGGAGCUUUUCAUCUGCCGACGCCAAUUUACAAACUCUGAGUUCUCUGAAUGUGAAGUUAUACUUGUCAUUUAUUGACAGAAUUAAAACAUAACUUUCGACAACGGAUCUCUUGGUUCUCCCAUCGAUGAAGAACGCAGCGAAACGCGAUAGGUAAUGUGAAUUGCAGAAUUCAGUGAAUCAUCGAAUCUUUGAACGCACCUUGCGCUCCCUGGAAUUCCUAGGAGCAUGCCUGUUUGAGUGUCAUGAAUUCCUCAAACCCCAAUGUUUUGCAAAAUUCAUUGCUUGGGUUUGGAUUUGGGCCCCUUUUGCCGCUUCACAGCAGCUGGCCUUAAAGAUAUUAGCUGGACCUUCGAUCUUUGUAUCGAGCCUCCAUUUGAUGUGAUAAUUUUGCAUCGGUGGGUUAAGGGCUCUUUGCUAAUCGCAGGAGGUUCGCUUCUAAUCCGGCGAGAAGUUCCAUCUUCGACCCACUAUUCAUUUACAACUCUGGCCUCAAAUCAGGUAGGAUUACCCGCUGAACUUAAGCAU
This 625-nucleotide ribosomal RNA is filed under the name Microstromatales sp. 4FL2. RNAcentral describes it as "eukaryotic LSU rRNA". The stretch from base 190 to 343 matches the Rfam family "5.8S ribosomal RNA". Lineage: Eukaryota; Fungi; Basidiomycota; Exobasidiomycetes; Microstromatales. The record is from RNAcentral.